This 460-nucleotide ribosomal RNA is filed under the name uncultured bacterium. RNAcentral's name for it is "partial 16S ribosomal RNA". It matches the Rfam family "Bacterial small subunit ribosomal RNA", at positions 338 to 795 of the family's 1533-position model. The record is from RNAcentral.
CCUACGGGAGGCAGCAGUGAGGAAUAUUGGUCAAUGGGCGGGAGCCUGAACCAGCCAAGUCGCGUGAGGGAAGACGGUCCUAUGGAUUGUAAACCUCUUUAGGCGGGGAGCAAUGCCGGGCACUCUUGCCCGGAGGGAGAGUACCCGCAGAAUAAGCAUCGGCUAACUCCGUGCCAGCAGCCGCGGGAAUACGGAUGAUGCGAGCGUGAUCCGGAUUUUUUGGUGUUAAAGGGUGCGUAGGCGGAUUUUUAAGUCAGCGGUAAAAUGUCCGGGCUCAACCCGGGCCGGCCGUUGAAACUGGGGAUCUUGAGUGGGCGAGAAGUAUGCGGAAUGCGUGGUGUAGCGGUGAAAUGCAUAGAUAUCACGCAGAACUCCGAUUGCGAAGGCAGCAUACCGGCGCCCGACUGACGCUGAGGCACGAAAGCGUGGGGAUCGAACAGGAUUAGAUACCCUUGUAGUC